GCCGGGUGUGGUGGCUCACACCUGUAAUCCCAGCACCUUGGGAGGCUGAGGUGGGCGGAUCACCUGAGGUCGGGAGUUCAAGACCAGCCUGACCAACAUGGAGAAACCCUGUCUCUA
RNAcentral lists this small RNA (117 nucleotides) under Macaca mulatta (Rhesus monkey). RNAcentral describes it as "Metazoan signal recognition particle RNA (ENSMMUG00000049569.1)". Lineage: Eukaryota; Metazoa; Chordata; Mammalia; Primates; Cercopithecidae. The record is from Rfam by way of RNAcentral.